UCCUGGCUCAGGAUGAACGCUAGCGGCAGGCUUAACACAUGCAAGUCGAGGGGCAUCGGGAGUAGCAAUACUUGCCGGCGACCGGCGCAAGGGUGCGUAACGCGUGAGCAACAUGCCCGUAUCAGGGGGAUAAUCCAUGGAAACGUGGUCUAAUACCCCAUAGUAAUUAUGUAAGGCAUCUUAUAUAAUUUAAAGCUUUGGUGGAUACGGAUUGGCUCGCGUGACAUUAGCUAGAUGGUAAGGUAACGGCUUACCAUGGCUACGAUGUCUAAGGGUUCUGAGAGGAAGGUCCCACACACUGAAACUGAGACACGGUCCAGACUCCUACGGGAGGCAGCAGUGAGGAAUAUUGGACAAUGGAUGGAAAUCUGAUCCAGCCAUGCCGCGUGCCAGGAAGACGGCCCUAUGGGUUGUAAACUGCUUUUGUAUGGGAGCAAUAAGGGCUACGCGUAGUCCGAUGAGAGUACCAUACGAAUAAGCACCGGCUAACUCCGUGCCAGCCGCCGC
Molecule: ribosomal RNA, 507 nt
Filed under: uncultured bacterium
Lineage: Bacteria
Description: bacterial SSU rRNA
Rfam family: Bacterial small subunit ribosomal RNA
Source: RNAcentral